GUCUGCCGCCAUGACGUGGGCUCCGUUAGGUUUAACGCCUGCCGGUGCUCAGCGAGCCUCAGGUGAGGUUGGCUCCUUCCGGGUAGGCUCGGUUCCGCUUCCCGGAAGCCGCAGAGUCUCUGGGCGUCCUCGGCUCUUCGCGACUGCCUUCGGCUUUCUUGGUGGCUCCAGUCCUGGGACCGUUUCCAAGCCAGAUGCGAUUCUCAGGGCUGCGGCGCUCAAAGGCAAAGAGGGACGGCAGCUUUCCCUGAGUGGGGCGCGCUCGGGCCACGCCCGAUCCGCCUAUCAGUCUCUGCAAAAACAAGUUACUGCGUGGACUGUGUCCGGAACCAAGGAAGUGACGUAGGCCAAUCCCGAGCGCCGUGGGCGGUUGGACAGUAGCUCCGCAAAGCUUACGAGCCAGGCUCUGGCCAAUGAAUGGACGAUGGUAGUUUGCGGCUCCUUUAUAACAGCUGCUGUGUGAGACACUCUACUAGGGAGUAGAUUAGCCGAGCCUGUGGUGACAGUUGGGGUAAGUGAAUGGAAGAAUGAAAACGUAGGUUCUAACGAUUCCCCUUUCCACAAGGCAGCAGGUGUAUAUGUGAUGCUGGAAGGCGUAAUAAGAAUCAGUCCGGCGUGUCCAGCGCUGCAUAGACCGCAUGAGCGCCAUUAAUGUGACCCAACACAAUAACUUAAAGUAUUUUUCUUUCUCGAGAGAGUGUGUCUCUCUCCUGUUAAAUAUCGGGAAGAGGGAGACGUUAAUGGUCAGCUUAGAAAGGAAGCUUACACAAUCCAUAAUUCAUCUGAAGGAUGAGGUUUAUUAGAAUGAAAGGGCCUCAAAGCUACGAGUUUCGGUGUAGGGGAGGGAGAAUUGAACAUGAGACCUUAGAGUUAAGAAAAGACUUUCCUUUAAAGUCUAGGGAUGGGGCUGAAGAGGUGGCUAAGCGGUUAAGAGCACUGAUCCCUCUUCCAGAGGUCCUGAGUUCAAUUCCCGCCAACCAUGUGGUGGCUCACAACAGUCUGUAUGUAAUGGGAUCCGAUGCCCUCUUCUGGUGUGUCUGAAAAUAGCCACAGUGUACUCAUACACAUAAAAAAUAAAUAAUUCUUUUUUAGAAAGCCUAGGGAGUGGGGGCUGGCGAGAUGGCUCAGUGGUUAAGAGCACUGACUGUUCUUCCGAAGGUCCUGAGUUCAAAUCCCAGCAACCACAUGAUGGCUCACAACCACCCGUAAUGAGAUCUGACGCCCUCUUCUGGUGCGUCUGAAGACAGCUACAGUGUACUUACAUAUAAUAAAUAAAUCUU
RNAcentral lists this long non-coding RNA (1280 nucleotides) under Mus musculus (house mouse). RNAcentral describes it as "long non-coding RNA chr15:89429588-89430868". Lineage: Eukaryota; Metazoa; Chordata; Mammalia; Rodentia; Muridae. The record is from RNAcentral.